Long non-coding RNA from Telopea speciosissima, 1097 nucleotides. RefSeq lists it as uncharacterized. The transcript is spliced from 2 exons. NCBI's taxonomy places the organism in Eukaryota, Viridiplantae, Streptophyta, Magnoliopsida, Proteales, Proteaceae. The record is from RefSeq and is a predicted model, not a curated record.
UGUGCUUUAUAUAUCUUUAUAAAGAUAUAGUAUUAAAGUAUAUAGGCUUACUAUAGAAUAUAGAUGUAAUAUGUAUCUUCAUAUAUGUACAUAUAAAUUACGUAUACAGAUAUGUAAUUUACAUGUACAUAGCACCCUAAUUCUAUUUCUUCGCUACAUCCAUUUGAUUUGUAUUAAUUCAGAUCAAUCUGAAAUAAUCGAAUGUAAAUUCUUACUCUUACGUCUCUAAUUCCUGGGUUUCUGAUUAUUUCCAAUAUGGAUGACGGGAUCUAUCGAAAGAAUCAAUGUAAGUAUGUGCAUAUCUUAUAUAAAAGAAAAAACCAAGUAAUCCUUGUAAUCCUUUUUAGUAUUUCGAAGAAGUAAUUGGUUGAGCCGUUCACAGAUGAUCCAAGGAGUUCUAGGAGAACUUCUUCGGAUUUGGAAAAGGAGUGAGUCGAUAAACGAUAAAGUAGAAAUAAGAUUUCUAAAAUCUAAAACAAAUGGAUGGUAAGUGUGCGUGAAUCGUCUAACGCACGAUCUUAUUAUGCGUAGUACCUCGUUGGACAACCACAAUGUCUAUGUUGCCUCCCGUAGAAAGUAUGUAUCUACGUAAUAACAGAACGACUUCCUCUUUGAAGAGGAAAAGAAGUAAAAAAAAGGGGGGGUCGGCUGCUCUUCAUUAGAAUAUCCAUAUAUAAUUCUGGUAAGAGCCAGUUCAUCGGAAUAGAAUAUUCAAAUUCGGUUGGAAAAACUUUCCUAUUAUCUAGAUCCCUUUUCCUUUCGAAAUAGGAACACGGGAAUUCUUGAAAUAGUUGUUUGAUUGAAAAGUUAUUAUUUGUAAUAAUACAUUACUUUACUUUUACUGGUACUGGAUUCCAGUAGAAUUUUGAAAUGAAGAUAUUGUUAUUUAACAAUGCUUUGCAGAACGAUCUAUGAAACAAUUGAUAGAGUUUGAUUACCCAACUUAAUCUUAAUUAGUAGUACCUCUAGAGUCCACUUCUUCCCCAUACUACGAGCGAAAGAGAAAAUGUAAAGACUACCAUUAAAGCAGCCCAAGCGAGGCUUACUAUAUCCAUGUAAAUUAUGUCCCCUAUCUCUAUGAAUAUGAAAGAAUUAUU